AGCGAACGCUGGCGGCAUGCUUAACACACGCAAGUCGCACGGAUCUUUCGGGAUCAGUGGCGGACGGGUGAGUAACGCGUAGGGAUCUAUCCAUGGGUGGGGGACAACUCCGGGAAACUGGAGCUAAUACCGCAUGAUACCUGAGGGUCAAAGGCGCAAGUCGCCUGUGGAGGAACCUGCGUUCGAUUAGCUAGUUGGUGGGGUAAAGGCCUACCAAGGCGAUGAUCGAUAGCUGGUUUGAGAGGAUGAUCAGCCACACUGGGACUGAGACACGGCCCAGACUCCUACGGGAGGCAGCAGUGGGGAAUAUUGGACAAUGGGCGAAAGCCUGAUCCAGCAAUGCCGCGUGUGUGAAGAAGGUCUUCGGAUUGUAAAGCACUUUCGACGGGGACGAUGAUGACGGUACCCGUAGAAGAAGCCCCGGCUAACUUCGUG
Molecule: ribosomal RNA, 435 nt
Filed under: uncultured bacterium
Lineage: Bacteria
Description: partial 16S ribosomal RNA
Rfam family: Bacterial small subunit ribosomal RNA
Source: RNAcentral